CGCGUAGGCGGACGUUUAAGUCAGAGGUGAAAUCCCGGGGCUCAACCCCGGAACUGCCUUUGAUACUGGACGUCUUGAGACCGGAAGAGGUAAGUGGAACUGCGAGUGUAGAGGUGAAAUUCGUAGAUAUUCGCAAGAACACCAGUGGCGAAGGCGGCUUACUGGUCCGGUUCUGACGCUGAGGCGCGAAAGCGUGGGGAGCAAAACA
This 208-nucleotide ribosomal RNA is filed under the name uncultured bacterium. RNAcentral describes it as "partial 16S ribosomal RNA". It matches the Rfam family "Bacterial small subunit ribosomal RNA", at positions 568 to 775 of the family's 1533-position model. The record is from RNAcentral.